RNAcentral lists this long non-coding RNA (804 nucleotides) under Mytilus galloprovincialis (Mediterranean mussel). Lineage: Eukaryota; Metazoa; Mollusca; Bivalvia; Mytilida; Mytilidae. The record is from RNAcentral.
GUUGCAUUAAAGAAAUUAUUAUAUUUCAGGAAAAAUUUAUUGAAAUAAACUUUGCACAAUAAUAUCGGAUAAAAUAAAAUGUGGUGUGAUUGCCUGAUACCGAAGAAACCACUUUAAAUCCGCUAUAAUAUAUACUUUCACAAUAUAUACUACUUUCAUAUACUAUAUAGAUACUUCCACUCUAGAGUAGGGGGCUAUAUGCAAUCACCUUGUAUAAAAAUCCGUCUGUUUGUCCAUUUGCCUGUUAAAUAUUUUUGUCAAACACUAUACAGCUACUUCAAAAUUAAUGUGCGGAAUGACCCAUACUUGGCCACCAGCUUAACUGUGCGUGAUGAGUUGUAAUGUGUGAAUAUAAAAAAGAAGAUUUGGAUGAUUGCCAAUGACAAUAGACCAAAAUAACUUGGAAAUUAAAAAUUAAUUUAUAGGUAACCGUAUGAUCUUCAAAAAUGAGCAAAGCCCAUACAGCGAAGUCAGCUUUAAAAGGCCCUGAAAUGACAAUGUAAAACAGUUCAAUCGAGAAAACUAAAGGCCUUAUUUAUAUAAAAAAAAAAUGAACGAAAAACCAAUAUGCAACACAUAAGACAACGACAACCACUGAAUUACAGGCUCCUAACUUGGGACAGACACAUACAUACAUUUUUAUACUUUAUGUGGUGGGGUUAAACAUGUUAGCAGGAUCCCAUCCCUCCCCCUAACCUGGGACAGUGGUAUAACAGUACAACAUAAAAACGAACUGUUAAAAUCAGUUCAAAAAGGCUUAACUCAUCAGAUGGACAAACAUUUAUACAAGUGGACAUGGCCGGG